AUCCCUUGUUGGGCAGGGGACAAACCCUUAUCACCAUGCAAGCCUGGGACAGCUAGCAGGGAUCCAGAACUUUGCUAUUCAGAAGCCCACAUUCAUAGAGUUGUAUGCUGAGCUCACCAUUGUCCUGCAGCACAGAAAUACCAAGGGGAGACCUGAGCAAUCGCCAUAUGGAAGCAUGCAACCACAGAUUGCUACCAAUCAGUGGGUAAACUAUUUGGCAUUGGAAAAAGAUCAACAGUGGAGAAAAUCUUCCUCAAGUUGUGCAAGGCACUAGUGUGUGUCCUGCCCCCCUGCAUUGCCUGUUCAUGAAAUCAUACAUCAGUAAGCUGGAUAGAAGCAAGUUAACCCUUUCCUUCCACAUGAGGUCUUAAUUCAUGUCGCGACAGAGAAGGAAACAUCCACAGAAAGAUCCACCCUAAAGGUUGUCCUCACUUUCCGUAUUGGAUGUGGCAUAUAAUAUUUGAGGCACAGAGGGGUUUUCAAAAUCACUAAUAUAGUCAAGAGUGUGAAUCCAAAUUUCUCCAACCCCCCCGCCCCCGCCAGUGACAUCAGAGAGAACAUCUCUGUUGCUGAGGCCAGGGUGUAUCUGUGGGAAAGAAAAAGCCCCCUCUGCAAUAGUGAUUGUAUAUGAAACCAUCAGGUAAGUGACAAAACACACCACAGAAAUCCAGCUGCCAUAAUCAAGUAACAACUGCUGGGUCUCUUCUUUACCUUCCCAUCACCAGCUGGGAGUCUCAUGGUCUGUUUGGAUCUAAAGAAAAGGCGGAAGAACAUUUCACUUUUCUGGUGUCCCAGCAUAGCUUCUCUUGGGACACUGUCUGAGCUGCUGCCUACAUAAUCCACAGAAUGGCUCCAGGCUAUGCCUUCAGCCAGGACUGGGAAGCUGCAAAUACAAUCUAAAGUCUAACUACUGACCAUGGAGUUGUUGUUUUAAAGCACAUUCAGGUCCUGCUCUAAAGUAUCUGCCAUUAUUUAAAAGUUUGACUGGGAUGAAAAUUGAUA
Molecule: long non-coding RNA, 1002 nt
Organism: Mauremys reevesii (Reeves's turtle)
Lineage: Eukaryota; Metazoa; Chordata; Testudines; Geoemydidae
Exons: 3
Source: RefSeq, a predicted model, not a curated record